GCCGGGUGUGGUGGUGCGUGCCUGUAGUCCCAGCUACUUGGGAGGCUGGGGUGGGAGGAUCGCUUGAGCCCAGGAGUUCUGGGAUGUAGUGCUCUAUGCCGAUGGGGUGUCCACACUAAGUUCGGCAUCAAUAUGGUGACCUCCCGGGAGCGGGGGACCAGGUUGCCUAAGGAGGGGUGAACCGGCCCAGGUCAGAAACAGAGCAGGUCAAAACUCCGGUGCUAAUCAGUAGUGGGAUUAGCCACUGCACUCCAGCCUGUGCAACAUAGUGAGACCCUCAGCCUC
Callithrix jacchus (white-tufted-ear marmoset) is the source of this 285-nucleotide unclassified non-coding RNA. It matches the Rfam family "Metazoan signal recognition particle RNA". From Rfam's summary of the family: The signal recognition particle (SRP) is a universally conserved ribonucleoprotein. It is involved in the co-translational targeting of proteins to membranes. The eukaryotic SRP consists of a 300-nucleotide 7S RNA and six proteins: SRPs 72, 68, 54, 19, 14, and 9. The record is from Ensembl. Lineage: Eukaryota; Metazoa; Chordata; Mammalia; Primates; Cebidae.